UACGUAGGGUGCAAGCGUUGUCCGGAAUUAUUGGGCGUAAAGAGCUCGUAGGCGGUCUGUCGCGUCGGCUGUGAAAACUCGGGGCUCAACUCCGAGCCUGCAGUCGAUACGGGCAGGCUAGAGUUCGGCAGGGGAGACUGGAAUUCCUGGUGUAGCGGUGAAAUGCGCAGAUAUCAGGAGGAACACCGAUGGCGAAGGCAGCUCGCUGGGACGGUACUGACGCUGAGGCGCGAAAGCGUGGGGAGCAAACAGG
Molecule: ribosomal RNA, 253 nt
Filed under: uncultured bacterium
Lineage: Bacteria
Description: partial 16S ribosomal RNA
Rfam family: Bacterial small subunit ribosomal RNA
Source: RNAcentral